RNAcentral lists this ribosomal RNA (270 nucleotides) under uncultured archaeon. Its description in RNAcentral is "partial 16S ribosomal RNA". It matches the Rfam family "Archaeal small subunit ribosomal RNA", at positions 477 to 747 of the family's 1478-position model. The record is from RNAcentral.
CAGCGCCACAAGUGGCAAUCACGAUUAUUGGGCCUAAAGCAUCCGUAGCCGGCGCUGUAAGUUUUCGGUUAAAUCUGUACGCUCAACGUACAGGCUGCCGGGAAUACUGCAGCGCUAGGGAGUGGGAGAGGUAGACGGUACUCGGUAGGAAGGGGUAAAAUCCUUUGAUCUAUUGAUGACCACCUGUGGCGAAGGCGGUCUACCAGAACACGUCCGACGGUGAGGGAUGAAAGCUGGGGGAGCAAACCGGAUUAGAUACCCGAGUAGUCC